RNAcentral lists this long non-coding RNA (1510 nucleotides) under Centruroides sculpturatus (bark scorpion). RNAcentral's name for it is "uncharacterized LOC111623591". Lineage: Eukaryota; Metazoa; Arthropoda; Arachnida; Scorpiones; Buthidae. The record is from RNAcentral.
AGCAAGUAACUGUUUAGUCAUAAGCUGGCCAUAUCAAUAUGCAAUAAUAUGCAAAUGAGCCCAGUACUGCACAUCAAAAUCAGAAAGGUGAUUUAAGGGAUAGCACACAAUAGUAAACCUGUUUGUACGAUACUAAUUUCUUCAAUUUUAUUAAAAAAGAAGAGUAACCAGAAAAAUGAAAUAAGAAAUAACACGUAAUAGUGCGACAAGGUUUAUCAGAUUUUAUUAAUAGAAGAAAUAACAAGGUAUAAUAGAAGAAAUAACCAGGAAAAAAUGGUUAAGAACACUGGCAAUACCAGUAGGAAAGUAUAAUCUCCAGGUCUUGCUGCUUUUGGAGAAUGGCUCAAGAACACUGGCAAUAACAGUAGGAAAGAAUGAAUUGAUACAAUGUUAUGUAUCGGCAGUAAAUCUACCCUUCAAGUGUGUAGAAAACCUUAAUUUUAAAAAAGAAACACGCAAAGGUAUGUCUGGAAUAUGUUUAUAAAACUUUAAUUAAUUAGCACGAUAAUUGAUAAAUAUUUGCUAGAUAAGCAAGGAUGAUUAUAUGUGUAAGUUAUGCACCCGUCACACGGACAUCUAAUGUAAAAAGAUUGUGAUCUCAAAGUAUGUUUAGCAUAAUAAUUAUAUCGGUUAUAUAUACAUAUAGCAACUUGUGAUUUGUGUAUAUUUUAUGAUUUUAGUUGACUGAAGAGGGGCAUUAUUAACCCGAAAUGUAUAGAAAAUAAUGUGUAUGCGUAUCAACUGAACUGAAUAAAAAUUAAGAUGAAAAAUGCCAAGUGGUCCAGUGGUUGCACUACAUAGUGUUAAAAAAAGAUAUUUGAACAAGUUGGCAAUUAAGGCUUCAGGUCAAGAAGGCCAUCAGGAGGUCUUUUUCUUUGUAUAAAUGAGAAUUUAGGAAAUGUGAUUUUGCUGAAGGCAACUCAAUAUUUAAUCAUUAUAAGACUAAUUUUUGAUCAAAAGAAAUUCAGUAAUUCUUGAAAUCUAAUUAUUAUUUUAUAUUGCAUAUACCUGUUUUUAAUAACAUAUUUGCCAAUCCGGAAGACUUGAUUUCUAGUUAUUCUGUUGAUCACAAUCUUCUAUUAUUGGUUGAUUCAAAUGCCAGGAUUGGCACAAAAAAUGGACAGUUUUUCAUGGUAAUAUUAUUUUAAAUUCAUGAUUAUCAAAUGAUUCGGUUAUCAAUAAGCAGGGUGACCAGUUUAUUCAAUUGGUUAAAGAUUAUAAUUUAUAUAUAAUAAAUGGUCAUCACCCUCAUGAUUCCCCAGCUAAUUUACAUACAUAUCCAAGUUUGGAACAUUAGUGAUCGAUUUAUUAGUAUUGAGUGAGGGACUGACCAAGCAUCUUGGGGAUUUUUAUAUUUCUGAGGACUAUAUGUCAGACUAUCUUUUGGUAGUACUAUAAUUAUCAUUUGAUAACACAAGAAAAGAUGAUGCUAUUCAAAAACAACAACAGGAAAGGUUAACUUGGAAAGAAGAAAAAGCAAACUUGUUUACUGAAGCAGUUAACAACUUGU